Molecule: non-coding RNA, 21 nt
Organism: Caenorhabditis elegans
Lineage: Eukaryota; Metazoa; Nematoda; Chromadorea; Rhabditida; Rhabditidae
Source: Ensembl
UUUUGAAAGUAUUUAGAAACU